RNAcentral lists this non-coding RNA (48 nucleotides) under Pseudofrankia inefficax. RNAcentral describes it as "Frankia inefficax Guanidine-II sequence". It matches the Rfam family "Guanidine-II riboswitch aptamer (mini-ykkC)". From Rfam's summary of the family: Simpler in structure and has fewer highly conserved nucleotide positions than the ykkC-yxkD leader. Despite this each of its two stem-loop structures directly bind free guanidine. Lineage: Bacteria; Bacillati; Actinomycetota; Actinomycetes; Frankiales; Frankiaceae. The record is from Rfam by way of RNAcentral.
CGACCGGGACGACCCGAUCACGCUCCUGUACACGUCCGGGACGACCGG